Anas platyrhynchos (mallard) is the source of this 6329-nucleotide non-coding RNA. The record is from RefSeq and is a predicted model, not a curated record. NCBI's taxonomy places the organism in Eukaryota, Metazoa, Chordata, Aves, Anseriformes, Anatidae.
UGAGGCUGGACGUGGCAGCCAGGGAGACCUUGAGGAAUGCAGUGCUGAGCACAGCUGGCCAUCGUUGCCCUGAUCAGCCCCACAGGAUCCUAGAUCUUCAGCCCGAUCCCCUUGUGUGCUCAGCCUUGCCUGAACUACACCUCACCUGUACCCAGCCCUAGCCACCACAACUGCCCUGGAGCUCCAUGGGACCAUUUGGAACCUUCCAUUAGGAAGAUAUAUAUGCUGGAUAUCCCAAAUAUCCUGGUUUUUGGAUUCACUUUAUUUUCACUGGCCAGAAAGAAGAUACAGCCGUAACUCUUUGCUUCAACCAGUGCCAUUCAGGACCAAAUGCAGGCAGCAACAGUACUUCACAGUCUUGUACCGGGAGCAAGAAGUCAGAAUCUCACGAAAUAUUUUUAAGGAAGCAAAAUUUUGAGGCAGGAUACUCCUCGUUACGCUGGAUUCUGGAUCCUUUCCCAGCCUCCUGUAGAUUUUGGAAAGUCUCCCACUCAGCUGCCAUGUGGAAGGCUUUGAACUUAAAAUGGGAACAGGCACAGCACAACCGGGGUUGGGGGUGGCUGGCAGUCCUCCCCCCCUCUCGCCCUUCCCUCCCCAGUGCGACCACUGCGAAUCCGUCCUAGAGCCCCAAGAGCUUGGGGAGAGGCUGUGGCGAAAUGUGUUCCAGUACUAUGGCAAAGUGUCCUGCUUCAACAGGUGACACCGGGAUUUCUCUAUAAACAAAACAAAACAAAACAAAAAAAAACACAAAUGGCUUCCCCUUCAAGAAAUGGACAUGUUGGUGGAGAAAAUGCCACCUGUGCAUCAGCUCCCCUUUGAUUAUAAAUGUGCCUUGAGUCAGGAGAAAAAAACACGCUGCAAACUACUCAGCUGAUAAGCACAAGCAAUUAAUUUAAUUGUGGCAUACAUCUGGUAAACCUCACUCCUAUCAGUGUGAGUUGUGUACAGCUCAAUCUGGCUCAUAAAACAAACACAGCUUUGGGCAGCUACUCAGCAGAGCCCCGUCUUGCUUCAUCCCACUCAGAAGCGUAGUCACGGCCCUUAUAUGUGACAUACUUAUUUGUAGAUAGGUGUGAUGUUUGCAUAUAGGGUCUGAACUGAAAAGAUGAAGAGAUACCCUGAGAUACUGUCAGUAUUGCCCUCGAUACCCUUGAUACACCUGGUGCUGUGUUUACCUGUCAUAACACAUUUCCGAAGAUCUCCGUGUUGGCCUGAGGAGCUGCAGAGAGCUGCUGCUGUGCUGCAGCGCCACAACCCACUUUCCUCACUUCCUUCCUUGUGCUGUUGUGUAAAGCUGUGGUCACCAGCACAGAAGACAAACAGACUGGAUAUUUUUAAUCCAUCUUUUAAAAGGCUUCAUCAGGCUUGUUCCUCGAUGCAGCAGCAUUGUGUUUAGUUACACCACCUCCACGCUCUCGAUGGCCAGCACACCGUGCGAAGCGCUGCACCUCAGAGGAGGAGGUAUGGCCAGGCCCAUCCUACCCCUCCUGUUUUUUCCUGGGAUGGAGAUUAGAAAAGCAGUUUUCAGUAGUGAUGGGAAGAGCAUCAUAUUGGCAUACAUGGGGAUUUCUUGCAGUUUCAGACGUGCCUGCACUGUAACAAAAGGCAUCACACAGGAAACAGACGUCAUGGGGCUGAGCUCUGCGUUGUUGGUGUGUUCAUGGGUCUUGAAAUAUCCAAGAUAAGAGCUUUGUUCCUUUGCAGAAUGCACGGGGGAAAGAGAAACAUCACAGUGUACAAAUGAAUCAAUCUACACCCUCCAGAGGAGGUAAUACUGGUGUAGUAAGAGAUGCUAAAGCAGCUCAGGAGCAGAAUAUUGAACUCAAGAAAGCAAUCAAAUGCAGCAGGUUUUUCAGGGAUUUUUUUUUUUUUCCCUCUGGGAUCUCCGCUGCUGCAUUUGUGUAGGUACACAGCAUCCAGCAGGAGAAAAAAUUCCUCGCUGAAGAGGUUUCCAAGAGAGAACAGCAGACAAGAUAAGUGUGAGCAGUCACUGGCAGAAGUUUCAAUGCAGCACUCCAGUCUGCUGGUAUUUAACAUUCAGUAGUAGGCAUGGACCGAGUCCCGCUAAUUGUAAGGACAUCUCUCCAUCGCACCACACUGGGAACUGUCUGAGUCAGCAGCAUUGAUGAUGCUUCACACAAACACACUAACGUCUGCCAAUACGCCACGAGGGAGGGGAGGACUUGCUGAAGUAGAGGAUGCCUCGUGAAUAUUUUUGUGCUGUUACCCAAAGAGGAGGGAUGAGCUGCUGCUGCCCGCUCCCCCGGUGCUCCUGCCCAGGAGGCAGGCGGCACGCUGCAGGCCAGCUGGCCUGGCCCCCUCGCCAAGCGGGACACCGCUCUGCUGGCCCACAGAAACACCGGUGGCUACGCUUCCUGACCAGAAACCCGUUUCACCCAGAAGGGCGAUGCUCCCCCAGGAGCAGAGCACCAUCCCCAUUUCUCCAUUUUCCCAUUCAGGAGCACUUUGCCUCCUCCUCCCCUCCCCCGUGGGUGAGAAUCGCUGCAGGCCUCCCCCGCGGCCUGGCCACAGGCGCCUCACAGCAGCAGCUCCCCAUUGGGGCUUUGCCUUAAAAACAAGCCUCAGUCGCGUGAGGGGGUUGAACGGCUGCGUCGGGAAAACUGCGUAAUGAAGGGCUUUCUGAAGCAUGCAUUAUACCCGUUUCAAACUACAAAGCAAUUGAAAGAUCAGUGGUCAGGGAUUUAUGAAAUGAUUUAUUGUCUCGGUGACCACAGAGAUAUUUCUUGCCAAUGGAGUAUUUUUUUUCUGUCACAGGGACAACAGUUGUUUUUAUCCAGGGCCAAAACCCGAAGCCAUUAUUCAUUUUAUUACUUGGGCAAAAUUCUCAUUAAAGUCUUAAGGGAUUGGCUCAAGACUCGAUAUUUCAAAGGAGACUGCAUUUAGAAGAGAAAAUAGAAGCAAAAUCUCCGCAAACAUCGGAGCAUGUCUUUAAACUCCUUCUACAAACACAUUAAGGCCACUGUGAUGCAAAGAGGGAAAGUUAGUUCGGCUGCAAUUCCCACUCUUCCUGCAUGCCAGGAGAUUGCGAGGUGGAUUUCUCCUGAAGAUAAUGUUGUUUACCCUCUACCGAGGUAGCCUUAACACAAGCCCGCUCUGCUGCUUAUCAUCCUGGCGCCUGAGAAGGUCUUGGAUAGCCUGCAACUAAAAACACGGGUGGUGAUAGAGCCCUGCAGGUGUGCUGCCAGAGAACUGACGAGGUAGUCGCUGGGGCAGGCCGAGAUGAAAAUAAACAGCGUGAGGAUUGCAGUCUGGCCCGAGGGUCUCCAGAGAGAGAUUGAGGGAACGGUGCACAAACUGAUCAGCAGGCAUCGCUGCUGCCUGCUGGAUGCGUGUGGUUUCUCCUCUAAUGCAGUCGGAGAAGUAUCUGUGUACAGGCGAGGUACCGGGCGAUUCUGCAGGUUAUCUGGUGACUCACCUGGGAAUCACCAGCAAGAAGGAAACGCUGAGGCCCAAGUUCGUAGUAAUGUGGAUGAGAAAAUGUCUAUACCGUGACACCAACAUUGUAACCCCAGAAAGCAACCUGGCCUCUCAAAUCACUUCAGGCAGCUUACUGACCUUUCUUAGCAUCACGUUUUCACUUCUCUCCAUGCUUCAGUCUGUAAAGCAGAGCAUCCCCACAUCACGUACUGUUGGCAAUCUCUUCUGAGAGACAUGGACUGACAGAGCUCUGAGAAUCAGUUUGUAUUUCAUCUCUAGAGCUGAAGUAGCUGGCCAGCACUGAGAGGUACAGACUUUCCCGGAAACACUUGCUUAACUCCAGCUGCACGUGGGAUUUCUACCAGAGCUGUCAACCCAACACACCACACGAGCGUUUUACUACGUUAAGAAACUAUCUGUUCUAGGUAAGAUGCUUAAAAGUUUGGGAAGCACAUUGAGAAUAGGUAAAUACAUUCUGCUGCUAUUUUGCAAAUGUCCCUACCACAAACGGUUUAUUAAGCAAACAAACAAACAAACAAACAAAAAAAAACCCACACCACCAGAAGUUCAAUAGAUGAAUCUUCACUGGCUUCAGAACUGGUAUUUGCAUGGCUGCCAAAUGUCUGAACCUCUUUCAGCCAACCAACUGGACCACAAAGCCUCUUAAGAGUUCACAAAAGUGCUCCCUAUAGCACACACACCCGUUAAACUCAAACCCUGUUUCUCUUUAACCGUUCAUAAAUAUUUCUCAUUUUUAUUAUUGAUCCAUAUUAUUAUUACUCUUCAAUCACAGCUCAUGUGAUAGAUACAGCCGAAGUUAGCAUUAGGUGGCCCAAGGAAGAAAACACACAAACAUGCACACACAGAUUACAUCCAAGCUUUGCAUGCUUUCAGCAGACAAUCCGUUCCAGAUCUAUGAGUCACCAUUAUUGACGUGAUAUUAUAAGGGGGAUUUAUAAGGAGGAUUUGCAUACAUGACUAAGUGAAUGAACUGAUCCUUUACUGUGUGGGAAAAGGAGUAGAUGUUACAUACAGAUUUCAAAGAAAGAUGCAAAACAUCUGGGAAGGCUUCUGACUUAACACAGAAAGUUUUUGGUCUUGUUUUUAUUAAUUUUUCCCUUGUGGAUCACCUCCUAUAGCACCCUGUAGAAUUGUAAUUGAAUAUCCAGCUUCUGAAUCUUGUAACUUGUUGUGAUAUUGUGAGAAAAAUCAGGUUCUUCAUAACAGACCAUAUUUUCUCCCCGAUAUAGCAGAGGCAGUCACCGACUAAAUAUCCACUAAAUGCCUUGUUCAGAUUAUUCCUUCUCUGCCAAAAUAUGCAACAUCAUGGAAACUAAAUGCCUAUUUAGGGAAUAAUCAACAGAGGUGCAGAGAACACCUUCAUUUACUGAUAGCAGUCUUGCAAUGCACACAUAACAGACUGAGUAGUCACUAGUAGUCACUGACUCCUGAAAGGAAAGCAGAGGAAGAGAAUAACUCUUGCUGGACCAAACUGGUUUUACACUGCAGUGGUGUAAAUUAAACCAGUUACACCCAAUUUACAUUACUGUGUACUAAAGUAGGAUAGGAUGCAUUCAUUAGAAUAUGAACAAGGAGGAGGCCAACCUACACCACCCAUACUUGGGUGCUAGAAAAAAAAAUGCAUUAGCAAGAGUUUUGUAUUUCCUUAUUUCCCUGGAAUGCUGAUGUAUUUAGAGUCCAGAAACCCUCAUUUUUAGCCCUGCUUCCUAAGGAAGGGUGGCUUCUGCAGCAAGGGGACCCAUCUGUCUACUUCAACCUUUGGCUGAAAUUGUUCAGCAGGUCCACACCCAAAAGAGGGCAGUGAUCUUGGAACAGCUUCAUGCUGAUGAGAUGGAGCAUGCAGCCAGUGUUCCCAUGGAGCAAGGCAGGCAGAACUGCAGCCCUGUCCAUUGCAUUUGGCAGAAGACAGUUGGCCAGCCUGUGCAUUUUAAAGUCAAGAUUAGCCACAGCCCAUGCUGCUUUUUGCCUGAUUUGACAGGAUAUCGUUGGGGAAGUCAGAGCUAUUGUGGAAAGGUUAAGAAACAGAGAAACCUAGGAAGUGAGACUUUAUUACUCUACUCAUUGAACAGCUGUUGCAUCCAUUAUCAGCGUAAAAUGGUGUGUAUAGUUUUAUGCUUAAUGAUACAAAAGCACAUACAUUCCAACACUGGGUAAGACAGACCAAAGGGUAGCUUAAUAUAGUUAUAUUGAAGGAUAAUGGAGCCGUGGAAGUGUAUAUCUAUGAACUAUAUUGUUUAUUACCAGGGAGGUAGGUCAGCUAGAUACCAUUUCUGCAGACAGAAACUUCUCUGCUCUCUGGCUUUUAUGAUCUUAGGGUUGUUUGAGUCAGUUCAUUAACUGACAGAUUAAUAAUUAAAAAAAAAACAACCCAACACAAUAAAGUGAAUGUUCAUUGUCUGAAAGUGAUGUUAUACACGGAAGCAGACUGAAACAGCACUCUCGUCAGCAAUACCUUCUAGCCACAGUAUUUCCUGGGAACUGCUGACCCAAGCACAGCUUGGCAUUGCUUCCAAAGUUCCUCAAAGAAAUAAUCUAGGCGGACAAUGUCUUGUUCUAUCUUUUAUUCCUUGAUAAGGUCUUGGUCUGCCUUUUAUUCCUCUCUAGAUAUGGAAAGAUAGCACUCUUCAUUAAAUUCUUUCCAACAUUACCUGUUAACUGUUCACGAAAUAUCUAAGCAUAUAUUUUCACAGUACUCUAAGUCCUCAUCCCAUUAAAAGAUACACACGUUUCAAUGUCAGUAAAAAGUCUUCCAACAUUUAAGACAAAUUAAGAAGCCUCUGCAUAUGACAGAUCUGAGAAAGAGACCAAGUUUUGCUGAAGGUUUGUCUUUCUAACAUGCCUAUGGGAAUAAAAGAAAAGUGAUUACCCGA